This 1429-nucleotide long non-coding RNA is filed under the name Gossypium barbadense (sea-island cotton). RNAcentral describes it as "long non-coding RNA (GBAR_LNC014838)". The record is from RNAcentral. Lineage: Eukaryota; Viridiplantae; Streptophyta; Magnoliopsida; Malvales; Malvaceae.
CGAUAUUAGUUUUCAUGCAACCCCGGCCCAUUGUUCUCUAUCUCUUCUUAAUUUUUAUAUCUCCGAAACUCGCAUGGAUAAGAAAAUGGUUGAUGUUAAAGCGUCGGUAAUGGAAUGCCAAAAAGCAAUACUAGAGACUGAGAAGAAGAAGAAGAAGACGAUAACGAUGAAGAAGAAGAAGAGAGGAAGAAUCAAGCGAAAGCUUUUUGCCCUUUUGUAUAAAAAACUGAAGCUAGCAACCCUAUAUUUCAUCGGUCAUUAUCUUCUUAGCAAGACCACCACCACCACCACCACCACCACCAACAAGAGUUUGAGUUAGCAAUUUCUUCCUUCUGUAUAUAUAUCUUGAGUUACUUUCUAGGCUUGUUGCUUAAAUCUUCCUUUGGUAAAUGCAUUUUGUUUUAAAGGAAUUGUGUUUGCUAUUGUGGUCUUGUUAAUAAUAAUCUUUUGAUGAGAUCUUCUAAGAAAACGAUUGUUGGAUACUGUCUAUUUUGAAUAUAUUCAAACAUUUUAAAUUUUAUAUUUGAAGUACAUCUAAUAGUUUUUGGAUACGAUAUACGAAUAUGAAAUAACACACAAGAAAAACAAUAACAUGAGGAUGAGAAAAAAAAGCAUUGCAAAUAUUCAUAUAACAUGUGUGUUAAUGUGUUAAAAUAUGCAGACGUAUCAGAGUUAUAAUAUGUGAAAAUGCAUGUAAAUGACAAUACGUGGAUUAUUGUCAACUUUAAUAAGAUAAAUCUGCCUCUAUUGACAUAUUUGGCGGUGUCGAGAAGCCACGUCAUGUAACCCACUUUGUUUCAAGGCUGAUAUCAAAAUUGAAGAGAAAUAAGGGGUCAAUCCAUUCGCCAUUGGUGGUCUGCAGAGAGACUUGAUCGACCUUACUUGAAAAGACAAUUAUUCUCUCUUUAUCAUAAGAGUAUGCAAUUAAGGAGAUAAUUAAUUAAACGUGCAUUUCUUAUUUAAUAAAAGAAAAAAAACAAGGACCAUCAAAUAUUAGUUUCACUCAGCUCAUCCCCUCUCUUGGUCACAAAUUCAAUAACAGCUAGGAUAGCCGCUUCUGCUGACUGCUUGAUCCUGUCACAAAUUGCUGGGUGUCUGCAAGUAAUGAUCAAGAAUUUAAAUUUGGGACAAGCUAACGCAAAGAUAUAUCUCACCUUAUCCAUUGUCAAAAGAAUACAGACAGAAACAACAAUUGUAUUAAAAACCUCCAUCUUUUUGUAUGUUCAAUUAAAUGCCAACAUGUCCUAUAUGGGUUAAUAAUAAAAAAAAUAAUUUUAGCAGGAUCGGAAACUUCAUCUUUUAACUUCAGAAUCCGUAUCUGCACAGCGUGGAAGAUAGAAUUAUCUCCCAAAGACAAAUGCCAGUGGAAGUUAAAGAAAAAUAAACAAGAUUAGCAAGAGGCAUGAAAGAUUUGCAAAAUACCAAGGCA